AACGAACGCUGGCGGCGCGCCUAAUACAUGCAAGUCGAACGAGAAGCUGUAGCAAUACAGUUGUACAGUGGCGAACGGGUGAGGAAUACAUGGGUGACCUACCCUCGAGUGGGGAAUAACCAGCCGAAAGGUUGGCUAAUACCGCGUACGCUUCCCAGUCUACGGGUUGGGAAGGAAAGCGAUGCCGUGGGUAUCGCGCUCAAGGUUGGGCUCAUGUCCUAUCAGCUUGNGGUGGGGUAACGGCUCACCAAGGCAACGACGGGUAGCUGGUCUGAGAGGACGAUCAGCCACACUGGCACUGCGACACGGGCCAGACUCCUACGGGAGGCAGCAGUAAGGAAUAUUGCGCAAUGGGCGAAAGCCUGACGCAGCGACGCCGCGGUGGGGGAGU
RNAcentral lists this ribosomal RNA (391 nucleotides) under uncultured bacterium. Its description in RNAcentral is "bacterial SSU rRNA". It matches the Rfam family "Bacterial small subunit ribosomal RNA", at positions 29 to 411 of the family's 1533-position model. The record is from RNAcentral.